Molecule: transfer RNA, 62 nt
Filed under: Dollfusiella sp. MZUSP 7992
Lineage: Eukaryota; Metazoa; Platyhelminthes; Cestoda; Trypanorhyncha; Eutetrarhynchidae
Description: tRNA-Asp
Source: RNAcentral
GUGUGCUUAGUUUAAUAAAAAUAUUGGUUUGUCUCGCCUAAGAUGACUUUGGUCAGCACACU